RNA transcript from Anopheles funestus (African malaria mosquito), 1514 nucleotides. It is a transcript of the gene named charged multivesicular body protein 5, with no coding region annotated. Lineage: Eukaryota; Metazoa; Arthropoda; Insecta; Diptera; Culicidae. The transcript has 4 exons. The record is from RefSeq and is a predicted model, not a curated record.
CCUGCCAUUUCCAGGCUUUGAAGUAUACAAACAAACAACCUUCAUUCGUGCCUCUUUUGUUGUGCGGAAAGACGAAAACGCGAUACACGGUUAAAACUAAUUCGUCAAUCUUUUCUCUCUUCGUUCUACAAAGCAGUACAAAAUGAACCGUUUAUUCGGAAAAUCGAAACCUAAAGAACCGGGCCCAAGCAUCAGUGAUUGUAUCAGCGGUGUUGAUGCACGGGCGGAGACAAUCGAAGGCAAAAUAAAGACGCUCGAUAACGAACUGCGGAAGUAUAAAGACCAAAUGGCCAAGAUGCGCGAAGGUCCGGCGAAGAACGCCGUCAAACAAAAGGCCAUGCGUGUGCUGAAGCAACGCAAACAGUACGAGAGCCAGGUGGAAAAUUUGCGGAACCAGUCAUUCAACAUGGAGCAGGCAAACUUUGCCCAUCAAACGCUGAAGGAUACUCAAGCGACGGUAGCCGCUAUGAAGGAUGGCAUGAAGUCGAUGAAGAAAGAGUUCAAGAAGAUUAACAUCGAGGAGAUCGAAGACAUACAGGACGAUAUGGCGGACAUGCUGGAGCAGGCGGACGAAGUGCAGGAAGCGAUGGGCCGAACGUACGGCAUGCCGGAGCUGGAUGAUGACGAGCUGCAAGCUGAGCUGGAUGCGCUCGGUGAUGAGAUCGCGCUCGAUGACGAUGCCAGCUAUCUGGACGAUGUAGUGAAAGCUCCAGAAGCCCCCGACAAGGAACCGGGAGCGGACAGUGUCACUAACAAGGAUGGAAUACUGGUUGACGAGUUCGGACUGCCAAAGAUUCCUGCAUCCGUCAAAACAUCCUAAGCUUUUUGGCCUUACCAAGCUGCCUUUGGCACGUGAUGCUUCCAUAUAAAAGAUUCGUCUGUAUAUGGGCAUCAGCAAGAAAUUUAUCUUUAAUUUACAAUUACACAAUACAGCAUCCCGCAAUCGGUCCUUGGCAGCAGGCGGCACCAGUUAAUCAACAACCAGAUGGCGAAGGCUUACUUCUUCCUCUGAAUACUUUGAAAUAAGGGACUGUUGCGAUCGGAUUUGAUCGUUGGACACUUUUAACAGCUCCUCUAGAUGACCAUUUUUGACCAGUUCACGAUUUAAUUCACGCUCCAACUCAUUCAAACGAUCCUUCAUACGCCUGUACUCUUCCUUGAUCAUCAAUAUCGCGAAGUAACCGCUUGAUGUGCUUAUUCUUCAUACUGAUAUUGUUAUAAAGCUCCUGCUGCCUUUCGAUCUCCGACAAAGCAUCGGGCGAAUCUUCACCCUCACUGCCACCGCCGACAUGGAGUCCUUCGGCAAGCUUUGCCUGCAGCUUGGUGUUCUCUUCCGUCACGUCCUUCAGCUUCGUUCGAAGGGUGUGGCGUUCCAGCUCCAGCUUUUCGAUGGUUCUUUUCCAUUCCUUCAGCCGCUCCUGACUUCCGAAAUCAUCUUUACCUUCCACUAGCGUCUGUUUUAACUGUCUCACCUAAAAGAUAAAAACGCAAUAAAAAUGUUACUGUAACAGAAA